RNAcentral lists this ribosomal RNA (266 nucleotides) under uncultured archaeon. RNAcentral's name for it is "partial 16S ribosomal RNA". It matches the Rfam family "Archaeal small subunit ribosomal RNA", at positions 716 to 982 of the family's 1478-position model. The record is from RNAcentral.
AGUCACUGACAUUAGAUACCCGCGUAGUCCAGGGUGUAAACGCUGCAGACUUGGUGUUGGAGGCCCUUUGGGGGCAUUCAGUGCCGGAGAGAAGUUGUUAAGUCUGCUACUUGGGGAGUACGUCCGCAAGGAUGAAACUUAAAGGAAUUGGCGGGGGGAGCACCGCAACGGGAGGAGCGUGCGGUUUAAUUGGAUUCAACACCGUAAAACUCACCAGGGAAGACUGUUACAUGAAGGCCGAGAUGAAGACUCUGCUAGAUUUUCAG